AUUAUCUAGGGAUCUUGUUAAAAUUCAGGUUCUGAUUCAGGUGGUCUGAGAUGUGGCCUGAGAUUCUGCAUUUCUAACAAGCUCCCCGAUGAUGCUGA
Molecule: microRNA precursor, 98 nt
Filed under: Pteropus alecto (black flying fox)
Lineage: Eukaryota; Metazoa; Chordata; Mammalia; Chiroptera; Pteropodidae
Description: mir-544 microRNA precursor family
Rfam family: mir-544 microRNA precursor family
Source: Rfam by way of RNAcentral